This 482-nucleotide ribosomal RNA is filed under the name uncultured bacterium. Its description in RNAcentral is "bacterial SSU rRNA". It matches the Rfam family "Bacterial small subunit ribosomal RNA", at positions 28 to 497 of the family's 1533-position model. The record is from RNAcentral.
GAUGAACGCUAGCUACAGGCUUAACACAUGCAAGUCGAGGGGCAGCAUGGUCUUAGCUUGCUAAGGCUGAUGGCGACCGGCGCACGGGUGAGUAACACGUAUCCAACCUGCCGUCUACUCUUGGCCAGCCUUCUGAAAGGAAGAUUAAUCCAGGAUGGGAUCAUGAGUUCACAUGUCCGCAUGAUUAAAGGUAUUUUCCGGUAGACGAUGGGGAUGCGUUCCAUUAGAUAGUAGGCGGGGUAACGGCCCACCUAGUCAACGAUGGAUAGGGGUUCUGAGAGGAAGGUCCCCCACAUUGGAACUGAGACACGGUCCAAACUCCUACGGGAGGCAGCAGUGAGGAAUAUUGGUCAAUGGGCGAUGGCCUGAACCAGCCAAGUAGCGUGAAGGAUGACUGCCCUAUGGGUUGUAAACUUCUUUUAUAAAGGAAUAAAGUCGGGUAUGCAUACCCGUUUGCAUGUACUUUAUGAAUAAGGAUCGGC